GCACCUUUCGCAUAUUUUAAUUUAACCCAUUAUUUUUCUAUAAUUUCUUCCCUCGUAUUAUUUUUCUAUUUUAUUUUUCAAUCUAGUGCUUUAUUUAUUUAAUUUUGCUCCUUUACUUACCUUUAUAUUAUUUUCAACAUUGCAGAUUUAUAUUAUUCACAUUUCACCCCUUUUUUUUAAACUAUGCAUUUUUAUUUUUAUUUUUUUAUCCUUAGGUGAUUAUUAUUUUUAUUUAUGUUGGUAUUAUGGUAUUAAUCAUGCCAUAACUAUGGCCAUUAUUAUAAUGAAUUAAUAUUAUUGUUACUAUUAUAGAAGUAUUAUUAUCUAUUAGCAUAAUUACUAUUACUUUUAUCAUCAUGUCAUUAUAUCAUUAUUUUGCCCUUUUUUUACCCAUGUAGUUAUUUCAUUUCUAUCCAUUUAUUUAUUUAUUUAUUUUUACCAUUGUCAUAUACAU
RNAcentral lists this long non-coding RNA (454 nucleotides) under Gossypium raimondii (Peruvian cotton). RNAcentral's name for it is "long non-coding RNA (GRAI_LNC003642)". Lineage: Eukaryota; Viridiplantae; Streptophyta; Magnoliopsida; Malvales; Malvaceae. The record is from RNAcentral.